CAACUCUGUCGCCGACGGGCACGAACAGCGAGCCGCGCCGGCCGGUUCGUCUCCUCUUGCCUCGGCUCGGUUCGGCGGCGGCCGGACCGUCGCGCGGCCGUGAAUCCAGCCGGUCCUUGUGCGGCGCAAUUGGGAGCAAGCAUCCUAGGAUGACGCGCCCGGCAUAUAUGUAUGUAUAGAUAGAUAGAGGAGCUGCAUGGACCGCAGGUGCCAUUUCAGUAGACACGGCUAUCCGGCCCCCAAUUUACUAGUGAUUUUACACCAACGGUGAGUGUGAGUCGGUGACCAUGUGCUGCAGUAUUCAGUGCAAAAUGCAUAGUUCAGCAUGCUUUCAAGGUUUAUCGGAGGUUCUUGACGCGUGAGUCCUUGGUUCUGGUUUUCAUUCCUUGAAUCACUGCCUACUUAUACUGCUGUUGGCUGUUGGUCAUACAAAGUUGCAAUUUUCAGAGUAUCGAAUAUUGGUGGUUUUCGUUUUGGUUCUAUGAUCAUUUGGUUCUAUGAUCAUUUCUGCUUCUCGUUUUGUUUACUUUGAUGAAUUGUCUGUUGCUCUGUUCAAUGCUAGUCAAGGAGUGGAGAGGAUUGCAGUAAGGGACAUAUUGAAUGGUGAAUUGGUGAUACAUAAUCCUGCAGUGCUCAUGGUGACGUGGCUAGCAGAGAGAUGAGAAAAAAAAUGUGGAAGCCGUCUAUUUAAGAACAAUUCUCUUUCGACGUCAAUGCAAGAAUUCCGACCUCUGUUUUGGACGUGGUAUACCUCAGAUUUUAGUUUCCUGUAGCAUGGCAUCAUUUGACCAUGGAACCUCACAAUUACAUCAAGAAACUAACAGAGGGCCAUGUUGAAGACUUGAGCCAACUUAGUAUGAUGAAUGAUGAUUGUUGGUGUCGAAAUUUAGAAAUUUCUGGAAGAACAGCGGAACCUUUGAUUUUGAACAAGAUCAGUGCAAAGUUUUGGAACCACCACGAUUAGACAUUCUAAUAUUCUAUAUAUAUUUCUCCAAACAUGCAUGUCCCAUUUAAUCUCGUACCUAAUCUGUGCCGUCAUCAAUCCAAUGGCAUAGACAUGCAGUGGAAAGCAAAGCUACUCUUUCUUGGGAAUAGUUAACAACCUCCUAAUUUCAGGUGAAGAUUGGAGCUGACGGUGAACAAGCAACGAAUAUACUGCAUAAUUGCACUCCCUAUCAGUGCAAAAUGCACACAGCCAACCUCAAAAACAAAAAUCAAGUGCAUAUGAUAAAAGCUGAUUAGGUCACAAAUAAAGUAGAGAAAGAUGUUUAUAGCUGUAUUAUAUGAAUACUUUUGGUUCAAUUGCUGCUUAGAGCCGAAAGAGAUCAAAGGACUCCAUUCCACUACCCACAGAACCCGGGCACUGCUCUCGAGAUGUUCUCUAAAGAACAAUUAUCUUGGCUAAUUAAAUAAUGACUAAAUAUGCAUAGCUCGGUGUGAAUUGACCACUCGCUAAUUUUAUAUUUGAGUUUCUAAUCAUUCCAUAGUGUGCACCAAGGAACCAAUUGAAUUGUAUGGUCUACAGCUCUAUAUCUGUGUUUCUUGACUUAGCAGGUUUACAAUGGAAAGCUUUGAAAGGACAGGGGCAACUGUUUUUUGCAAGCUGGUUAUAUAUGCUGAUUCACAGUACAUGUCAGUGCACUGUUGCUAUCUGUUAUAUGGUUUGUGCUUCUGAAUGAUACUAUUGUAAUGUUGUUGAUAAAUUCUUGUAUGCAUAUCUUGAUGAAGCAAUGUUGAUUGGUGUUCCCUCUAUUCAUAUUAAAGAUUUGGGGUUUUUUCUGUAUAGAUUAAUUCUACAAAAUUUGGGCUUAAUCCACCAUUAAUGAGAUUUGUAUUUUUUGUUCCUCUGCAUACAAGUUGAGUUUCAAGUUCCAAAUUUCUGGGGUGAUAGAGGACAUGACAUCCUAUGUAAGAAGAUUACUUUUAAAAAAUUCAUCAUGAUUUUUCAUGCAAUUUGUAUCUCUGUUAUUAAUUUAGUAAAUAAAUACACUUAUAUGAAAGUAAUUAUGAAAAUGCAUAAUAUUUUUAAUAUAUAUUAUGAUGUCUUUUGUCACCCCACAUAAUCUGAGUUUAAAACAAAGCGGAGAAAGCAAAAAGGCGAAUCUUUUUUCAAGAACAAAAAAGACAAAUAUUGUUUCGUAGAUUGGAGCAAUAGAAAUAGUUAGGGAGUGAAUCAGGAUGACUUUUUUCAGGGGGUUAAGCGGACAAAGUGGACUGUUUGCAGUAGUAAAAUGGAUUUCUUCCUUUGUUAAUUAGACAUCUGAAGCUCAGCUGCUCUGAAGACUGAAGUUUAUUUUAUUUUCUGGAACUUCUUCUCGUAAAAUGAGGAGGAUUUACCUGAUUAAUUGAUUAUAGCUCCUUGAGUUUGCAGUUGAGAACGCUUCUAUUGUUUUCUCAAACAUGUCAAGGCUGCAAAUCUGAAGAAAAAGUAUGUAGUAACCUUCUACCUUUAUAUUGAACGGCAGAAAGAAAAAAAAUUGGAGAUUAUAUGCCCGACUCACUCCGUGGCUCCUUUUGUUCAUUGCUCUUCACCGGUUAAGGUUCAUCCAUCAAUCAGUGAGUGUUGUUCCUGAGCCUAGUCAGUCAGAGUUUGUAAUAACUCAUUGAUCUCAUGGACUACAAGAUUGUUCUACUUCGACUUUAAUCUCUGUAUAUGUAUGCUAUCAGAGCUCAGGGCACUUAUCUCUGUACAUCUAUUCUUUUUUACUGUAAACACCGAGCAGGAGUUUGUACCAUAACCUUUUCAGGUAAAACAACCAGCACUGCAACAGAAGUUCUACUUCCAAUGUAAAUCCCCUGCAAGUUCCAUUAUCUUCUACAUGAUCGGGAUCAGUAACGCUGCAGUGCUUACUCAGAACAGCUCAUUUACCAAUGGGAAUUUGGAAUGCAGGAAGGUAGAUCUAGAUGCGUGUGCCUGCAAAAUUUCCUGCCCUUUUGCCAGUAUAUAUAUUUGAUCUGCUGGAUGGCGGCUUCCUCUACAUUAACACCAAGUACAAGGGGGCAGUAAUUAACAAAGUACUUGACAGUGGAAAGGCAAGAUUAGAUCUAACCCAGGGCAUGUGACAGCAACUCCAUUGAGGGGUUUGGAUCCAAUCCUGGCUGUUUAAUCUGCCAAGGAACAGGCUCUGGCAUUGGGGUUUAUAUAAUUGUUACUGCAUGGAAUGAACUGGUUCUUAUUCACUUGUGCCAUGUGUUACCACUGGGUCACCAGCUGUGAUGUCCCCUUUUAUUCUUCUUUUUAACUUUCAACUUUGGAGAUUCUUUCUUACUAUAACAACUGUUCAAUUGUCACCCUGUAAUGAUUGUAAUUACAGUGCAGAGCAUACUGGUUGUUUACCCAUGACUUUAAGCAAUAGCCAUAUUUGAUAUGGUAGUAAACAUGCAUUCAG
This is a long non-coding RNA of Sorghum bicolor (sorghum), 3389 nucleotides long. RefSeq lists it as uncharacterized. NCBI's taxonomy places the organism in Eukaryota, Viridiplantae, Streptophyta, Magnoliopsida, Poales, Poaceae. The record is from RefSeq and is a predicted model, not a curated record. The transcript has 5 exons.